Molecule: long non-coding RNA, 1636 nt
Organism: Rhineura floridana
Lineage: Eukaryota; Metazoa; Chordata; Lepidosauria; Squamata; Rhineuridae
Exons: 4
Source: RefSeq, a predicted model, not a curated record
CGCCUUUUUUAAUGGUUUCCAUAGGGAAAGCGUCCACUAGCGGGGUCAGGAGCCCCACACCAAGGCAAAGGGGCUGAACCAGAGCCAAGCGCUUCCCUCUGCCCCCCCAACAAAUCCCCCCUUUUUGUGUGGGGGAUUGAGGGGAGGCGGAGGGAGACACGAGGCGGGCAGGACGCACGUCCCUUCCAGAGGGGUUGCCGCGUUAGUCUCUCUCGCGUCAAAUAUCCCCAAACAGAAUGCCUUCAAGGCUCCAUCGCGUUUAUUGCGGCGCGACCUCUCGCACCGCAGGGGAAGAAGGCCUUCAGGAAGAGGCGGGAAAGCUGGUGAGGAGAAAAGGCCCGAGGAGCCGCGUCUCGGGGGCUCGCGCUCGCUCUGUAUCUUUCUCGUUCUCCUCAGGGCCGACGCCAUUUUUUCCCCUCCUGGACCAGAAUCGGGGAGUCACUCAGGGAAGGGAGCGCAGAAGGGAAAGAUGGCUCGCGGGGAGGGCGACGCUACACGCGCUCCCACGAGCCCACACCAUUUGUUGCCCCUUCUCUCUCUCUCUAAUAAAGCACCCAUCAUCUCUCCCUUAUCCGUCUCCACCUUUUCGCCCGCUCACCCAGACGAAGGCAGCCACUCUUUCCCCGCCUCUUUGGCCUUCCCGCGCCCCCUCCUGGAGCUGGCGAGAGGCGGCGGCGAGAAGGGGGAUUUUGCCCGCGGAAGGACUGGCGAAGAGAAGGAGGCAGCUGGUUGGGAAAUGGCGUCCUCUGUGGGGGCGGCUUACGAGCAGUUGCGCUUCUCUCUCCCCCCCCCCCCCGUCUAACUCAAACAAGAAUCGAUAGUGUAUUUUUUUCAAAUUCCAGAGGAAGGUCUGUUGUUGCAGCCAAAACUACUGCAGAGGCCUGCCCCACCUUCAACUGUCUGAUCUGUUGGGAGCAACGCUCCAUCUAACAGGCUUUGCUCCUCCCCUCCCUUCUCUUCCGGCGUUUGUUCAGUCAGUUAGUAAUAGCUCCCUGGGUGCAGGACACACGGCUGCUUCAGCAAGUUGAACGGAAUUUGCACUGCGAGCAUGCAGUUGGUCUUCUUUUUCAUUUGCUGUUUUAUUCAGCAUCUCUUUAAAGUGCUGGUGUAAUUGGCUUUUAUACUUGUAAACCACUGAGGUGUGAAAAUUGGAGGGAGAAAUAUCAAUAAGAUACGCAGACAAUACCAUACUACUAGCAGAAAUCAGUAAUGAUUUGAAACGAAUGCUGAUGAAAGUUAAAGAGGAAAGCACACAAGCAGGACUAUAGCUGAACAUCAAGAACACUAAAGUAAUGACAACAGAAGAUUUAUGUAACUUUAAAGUUGACAAUGGGGACAUUGAGCUUGUCAUGGAUUAUCAAUACCUUGGCACAGUCAUUAUCCAAAAUGGAGGCAAUAGUCAAGAAAUCAGAAGAAGGCUAGGACUGGGGAGGGCAGUUAUGAGAGAACCAGAAAAGGCCCUCAAAUGCAAAGAUGUAUCACUGAACACUAAGGUCAGGAUCAUUCAGACCAUGGUAUUCCCCAUCUCUAUGUAUGGAUGUGAAAGUUGGAAAAGAGCAGGAAAAAUCAACUCAUUUGAAAUGUGGUGUUGGAGAAGAGUUUUGCGGAUACCAGGCAUGGCGAAAAAGGCAAAUGA